AACGUAGGAGACAACCGUUAUCCGGAGUUACUGGGCGUAAAGGGCGUGUAGGUGGUAGAGUAAGUCUGGCGUGAAAUUUUUCGGCUUAACCGGGAAAGGUCGUCGGAUACUGCUUAACUAGAGGACGGUAGAGGCGUGUGGAAUUCCGGGUGUAGUGGUGAAAUGCGUAGAGAUCCGGAGGAACACCAGUGGCGAAGGCGACACGCUGGGCCGUACCUGACGCUGAUGCGCGACAGCAUGGGGAGCAAACAGG
RNAcentral lists this ribosomal RNA (253 nucleotides) under uncultured bacterium. RNAcentral's name for it is "partial 16S ribosomal RNA". It matches the Rfam family "Bacterial small subunit ribosomal RNA", at positions 524 to 776 of the family's 1533-position model. The record is from RNAcentral.